GCACAAGCGGUGGAGCAUGUGGUUUAAUUCGAAGCAACGCGAAGAACCUUACCAAAUCUUGACAUCCUCUGACUCCUCUAGAGAUAGAGUUUUCCCCUUCGGGGGACAGAGUGACAGGUGGUGCAUGGUUGUCGUCAGCUCGUGUCGUGAGAUGUUGGGUUAAGUCCCGCAACGAGCGCAACCCUUAAGCUUAGUUGCCAUCAUUAAGUUGGGCACUCUAAGUUGACUGCCGGUGACAAACCGGAGGAAGGUGGGGAUGACGUCAAAUCAUCAUGCCCCUUAUGAUUUGGGCUACACACGUGCUACAAUGGACAAUACAAAGGGCAGCGAAACCGCGAGGUCAAGCAAAUCCCAUAAAGUUGUUCUCAGUUCGGAUUGUAGUCUGCAACUCGACUAUAUGAAGCUGGAAUCGCUAGUAAUCGUAGAUCAGCAUGCUACGGUGAUACGUUCCCGGGC
Molecule: ribosomal RNA, 456 nt
Filed under: uncultured bacterium
Lineage: Bacteria
Description: bacterial SSU rRNA
Rfam family: Bacterial small subunit ribosomal RNA
Source: RNAcentral